Astatotilapia calliptera (eastern happy) is the source of this 1623-nucleotide long non-coding RNA. Lineage: Eukaryota; Metazoa; Chordata; Actinopteri; Cichliformes; Cichlidae. The record is from Ensembl.
CUCCAGCUUCUCGUGUUCCUCCUUCCUGAUAUUGCUGUCAUUGGGAACCGCUACAUCGAUCACUACGGCCGUCUUCUUCUGUUUGUCUACCACCACUAUGUCCGGUUGGUUAGCCACCACCAUCUUGUCCGUCUGUAUCUGGAAGUCCCACAGGAUCUUAGCUCGGUCAUUCUCCACCACCCUUGGGGGCAUCUCCCAUUUUGACCUCGGGACUUCCAGGUUAUACUCGGCACAGAUGUUCCUGUACACUAUGCCGGCCACUUGGUUAUGGCGUUCCAUGUAAGCCUUGCCUGCUAGCAUCUUGCACCCUGCUGUUAUGUGCUGGAUUGUCUCUGGGGCAUCUUUACACAGCCUGCACCUGGGGUCUUGCCUGGUGUGAUAGACCCCAGCCUCUAUGGAUCUUGUACUCAGAGCUUGUUCCUGUGCUGCCAUGAUUAGUGCCUCCGUUAUAAAGAUAUAUAUAUAUAUAUAUAUAUAUAUAUAUAUAUAUAUAUAUAUAUAUAUAUAUAUAUAUAUAUAUAUGUUAGGUUUUGUAUUGUUGAUUGUCAUUUAUGCUUAGAAAUAUUUAACCAUAUAUGCUUAGAGGUGUACAAUCAAUUGUGUAGUGAUAGGACUGUGGUCUUUAGCAGACUACAGAGGCUUGGGAAUGCACACCCACAUCCUAGGAGCAUAAGAGAGGUCCUAUCUUCUCUUUGUUGAUAUAUGGUAUAGCAAACACACGUAUAUCUCUUUAAGCAUAAGAGCCCUUUGUUCAGAUGGACCCGCUAGACUCCUGGCACACACACACACACACACACACACACACAGGCAAAGUACUCUUUGUGUGUAUGUAGACGUCAUAUGUUAAUGAACCUAUGCAUAUUCAUGUAACCACAAUAAAAGAGCAGUGUUACGGGAGAACGGAGAGAGCAACUGGGGUCAAGCGAAGGAACGGCGUUUGUCCGGUCUCUCCCGUGCACGAGUAACAUGAAGAACUUUGCCUACUUCGUGUCUUGCUUGCUGUGUAAUUAUAUUGUCUUUAACGUUCCAGCGAAUAGGUAUAAGCUACAAACCUAUCAUUAAUUGGUCCUUCGAUGCAGGAUCCCUGGAGUCGACAUUCACCGAGGGGAGGAGAGGCACGUUGAAAGACUGACGUCAGCCAGGAAGUUCCUGUGGAUUAACUGUCUGUCUUUUCUCCUCGAUGAAUGACGAUCGGCGGGAUUCGAGGCUGUUCAAUAUAUAUAUAUAUAUAUAUAUUUUGUGUGUGUGUGUGUUUGUUGUUACUCUAAUAGGUUCUUUGGUCUGGUAUGACUGAGAUGCAGGAUGUUGAUCAUGGUCCAGAUCCCUACUCAGUCCUUUCAACAGGUGCUCUUAGCCAGUACCCCGAGCAAUCACUCUCUGAACCGCUGUCAGAGUUAUCUCACAUGUCUGUUUGUCUUUGUGCAACUGUAGAUCUUUCCAUCCUUCGUCUGUUGCGUGUUGUCUUUCCAAUCACAGGCUUUGCCUGGGGGGGAGUGACUUGAACAGGAACUGGGACGAAGGAAGCACUUGGAGGAGAGACGGGCACUCAUUACCACGCACGGUCUGAGCACGGGAAGGAGGACGCACCAACUAUUAUUAUUGCACAUUCUAGCUAUUGCCAAC